Molecule: small nuclear RNA, 107 nt
Organism: Ailuropoda melanoleuca (giant panda)
Lineage: Eukaryota; Metazoa; Chordata; Mammalia; Carnivora; Ursidae
Source: Ensembl
GUGCACCCUUCCGCAGCACAUAUACUAAAACUGGAAUGAUACAGAAAAGAUUAGCAUGGUCCCUGAACAAGGAUGACACACAAAUUUGUGAGGUGUUCCGUAUUUAA